GGGAUUUCGGGCUCCAGCAGCACGCAGCCUCCAGUCUUGAGUGACUCCUGGGCUUUGGCUCAGCAGUAACUCCUCCAUAAAAACAAGUGUGUGCAUCUGGCUGUUAGAAGAAUUCAUGCUCAUCCGGGAAAAAUGAGGAAGCUGUGAGUACCAGUGGAAGGAACGAGCCAGGAAGAGGGACUGGAACCAUCUCAGAAGCCAUGCCCCUCAGGCUGGAACUUGCCCUGUCUCCUCGCAGAUGAGCUACCUCUUGUGUUUAAGAAUUAAAGGAAGAUGAGCUAGGAAUCAAGAAAUACGCAGAACUGAUUCCUGUCACUGGCGCCACCCUGCCACUUGCCCAGAGCUGUGGUAUAAAUUUUUUUAAUAGGCUGAAAUAAAAAUAUGAAUAGCAUUUUGGUAUUAAGCAUUAAAUUGAUAAAGGCUAUGAGAUACACCUGCUCUCAACCAUGUUAAUUUUUUAUUAUUGGUAUUAAUAAAUUAUUACUUACUAACAUAUUAACAAGAAUUGCAUUGAGAAACAAAGCAUCCACAGGCCAA
This 537-nucleotide long non-coding RNA is filed under the name Homo sapiens (human). Its description in RNAcentral is "non-protein coding LINC-PINT:72". The record is from RNAcentral. Lineage: Eukaryota; Metazoa; Chordata; Mammalia; Primates; Hominidae.